This 209-nucleotide ribosomal RNA is filed under the name uncultured bacterium. RNAcentral's name for it is "partial 16S ribosomal RNA". It matches the Rfam family "Bacterial small subunit ribosomal RNA", at positions 568 to 776 of the family's 1533-position model. The record is from RNAcentral.
UGCGUAGGCGGUUUGGUAAGUUGGAUGUGAAAUACCCGGGCUUAACUUGGGGGCUGCAUCCAAUACUGUCGGACUUGAGUGCAGGAGAGGAAAGCGGAAUUCCUAGUGUAGCGGUGAAAUGCGUAGAUAUUAGGAGGAACACCGGUGGCGAAGGCGGCUUUCUGGACUGUAACUGACGCUGAGGCACGAAAGCGUGGGGAGGCAAAACA